GGUAGCUCAUUGGUAGAGCCUCUGCUUUGCCCCGCAGAAGGUGCCGGGUUCGAUUCCUGGCAUCUGCA
This is a non-coding RNA of Podarcis lilfordi (Lilford's wall lizard), 68 nucleotides long. Lineage: Eukaryota; Metazoa; Chordata; Lepidosauria; Squamata; Lacertidae. The record is from the annotation of a GenBank genome assembly.